UACGGGGGGAGCAAGCGUUGUUCGGAUUUACUGGGCGUAAAGGGCGCGUAGGCGGUCAGCACAAGUCAGUUGUGAAAUCUCCGGGCUUAACCUGGGAAUGGCAUUCGGGACUGCAAGGCUGGAGUGCGGCAGAGGAGACUGGAAUUCCUGGUGUAGCGGUGAAAUGCGCAGAUAUCAGGAGGAACACCGGUGGCGAAGGCGGAUCUCUGGGCCUUACCUGACGCUCAGGCGCGAAAGCUAGGGGAGCGAACUGG
RNAcentral lists this ribosomal RNA (254 nucleotides) under uncultured bacterium. RNAcentral's name for it is "partial 16S ribosomal RNA". It matches the Rfam family "Bacterial small subunit ribosomal RNA", at positions 524 to 776 of the family's 1533-position model. The record is from RNAcentral.